AGUGAAAGAAGCAAAAAUUCAAAACAAGGUUGCGUGACGGAGCUGCGGAGUUCCUCCCUUUGUUAAUCGUCGAAACUAUUAGAAGAUGAGUUCAUAGGACCUCUCUUAGAUUCACCAUUUCAAAAUUUGUCCAAUUUCGAGGUCAAUCUGCCGUUUCUGUUGAUACAGUAAAAGUUAUAGUCUACAGUUUAUUAUAUUUGAUGGAUAAGAGUUGGAUUUCUGAUCAAUCUCAAGUUAAUGAGAAGUAUAUUAGGGGGG
Cajanus cajan (pigeon pea) is the source of this 258-nucleotide non-coding RNA. NCBI's taxonomy places the organism in Eukaryota, Viridiplantae, Streptophyta, Magnoliopsida, Fabales, Fabaceae. The record is from RefSeq and is a predicted model, not a curated record.